GAUGAAGAACGUAGUGAAAUGCGAUAAGUAGUGUGAAUUGCAGACUUUAGUGAAUCAUCGAAUCUUUGAACGCACAUUGCGCCCCUUGGUAUUCCAUUGGGCAUGCCUGUUCGAGCGUCAUUUACACCCUCAAGCUCACGCUUGGUGUUGGGCGUCUGUCCGCGCUUUCGAGCGUGGACUCGCCCCAAAUCCAUUGGCAGCGGCUUCGCCGGCUUCUCGCGCAGCACUUUGCGUUCAAGAAGGUCUCCGGCGGGCUCGCGUCCAUCAAGUCACCCCUCAUUUUGACCUCGAAUCAGGUAGGGAUACCCGCUGAACUUAAGCAUAUCAAUAAGCGGAGGA
This 339-nucleotide unclassified non-coding RNA is filed under the name soil metagenome. Its description in RNAcentral is "partial contains 5.8S ribosomal RNA, internal transcribed spacer 2, and large subunit ribosomal RNA". The stretch from base 1 to 120 matches the Rfam family "5.8S ribosomal RNA", at positions 35 to 154 of the family's 154-position model. The record is from RNAcentral.